UGUUGUUGCGAUUGUAAUCCUGCUCAGUAGGAGAGGAACCACAGGUUCAGACCACUGGUGUAUGUGCUUGGCUGAGGAGCCAAUAGGGUGAAUCUGUGGGAUUAUGACUGAACGCCUCUGUGAUAGGAAUUUUAUGGUCUUAGAUAUAUGGUAAUGUUCAUAAGUGUACCAACCAAGCACAUACAUACAUAGAUAAGAACAGGAAGGCCAACCUGGAACCAUUUUGAUUCCUAAACUGACCAAAUGUUUUCUCUGCAAGGUCAAAGUGGGAAACCUCCCCAUUGUCUCUUUCCUCACAAAUCCUGUCUUAAGGUCACAUUUAAGAUAUGAAUAGGGUGUGAGCCUGUGACCUGGCCCAGGAACUAAGUAUUUAUCAUUACAAAAGACUGGCCAGGCUGCCCAGGCAAUCCAACCAAGUAACCUGCCAGACAGGAAAUAAACAAGGACAGGAGAAAAACAACAUUCAAAUUUCUGUUUAGACCGCCUUUUCUGUGAUGUUUCUGGGGGUGGUCUUGAUCUACAGGGUGGCAAUUUCAAAAGUCUUUAUAAGGCCUUGCACACCAUUUUUCUGGGUCCCUCCUCUCUCCUGCAGGUGAGGGGAGCACCCUGUUGCAACAGAUCAAUAAAGAUCAAGCUUACUAGCUGCUUUGCUUCUCAAUAUUCUCUGGUUGGCCUCUGUUAUUCUCUCCUACCAAUAGGGAACCUAUGUAAGGACUCUAUAUGGGCUCUUGGAUACCCCAUAAGGGAAAAGGGCAAUUUUUGUUUACAACACCUCUAAGCCAGAAUCCCCCCUAAACGUAAUAAUGCCGCAGCACUGCAAAGCCACAGUUGGCCUCAGAUAGCCAGUCCGCCGUGCGUGCAUGCACGUGUGGCGGCCUGGUGCGGAGAGCUGUCCGCACUGCAUGUUCGUGGGGAACCCAGUGCUAAAUCAUUCAUAGACGACCUGAUUCUGGGUCAGGGUUUGGUACGUAGCAAAGCAGUUCCCUUGCUGCGAUCUAUUGAAAGUCAUCCCUCGACACAAGCUUU
Podarcis lilfordi (Lilford's wall lizard) is the source of this 1026-nucleotide non-coding RNA. NCBI's taxonomy places the organism in Eukaryota, Metazoa, Chordata, Lepidosauria, Squamata, Lacertidae. The record is from the annotation of a GenBank genome assembly.